CUGAAUGCAGCGACGCCGCGUGAGGGAUGACGGCCUUCGGGUUGUAACCUCUUUCAGCAGGGAAGAAGCGAAAGUGACGGUACCUGCAGAAGAAGCGCCGGCUAACUACGUGCCAGCAGCCGCGGUAAUACGUAGGGCGCAAGCGUUGUCCGGAAUUAUUGGGCGUAAAGAGCUCGUAGGCGGCUUGUCACGUCGGUUGUGAAAGCCCGGGGCUUAACCCCGGGUCUGCAGUCGAUACGGGCAGGCUAGAGUUCGGUAGGGGAGAUCGGAAUUCCUGGUGUAGCGGUGAAAUGCGCAGAUAUCAGGAGGAACACCGGUGGCGAAGGCGGAUCUCUGGGCCGAUACUGACGCUGAGGAGCGAAAGCGUGGGGAGCGAACAGGAUUAGAUACC
Molecule: ribosomal RNA, 391 nt
Filed under: Streptomyces eurythermus
Lineage: Bacteria; Bacillati; Actinomycetota; Actinomycetes; Kitasatosporales; Streptomycetaceae
Description: bacterial SSU rRNA
Rfam family: Bacterial small subunit ribosomal RNA
Source: RNAcentral